This is a long non-coding RNA of Oncorhynchus nerka (sockeye salmon), 1861 nucleotides long. RefSeq lists it as uncharacterized. The record is from RefSeq and is a predicted model, not a curated record. NCBI's taxonomy places the organism in Eukaryota, Metazoa, Chordata, Actinopteri, Salmoniformes, Salmonidae. The transcript is spliced from 3 exons.
GUGCGGCAACCUCGUUUCGGAUCCAACAUGGCGGGUGAGAUAAGCCCGUCGUGCGGCGCAUUGCUACCUGGAGUGGGAUCGAUUGCACAGCGCCCUGCAGGGGUUCCAUAGUGAGUUUGAGAAGUGUUCUGUUCUGGGAGAGCGCUGACUUCCUGGUACGGGACAAUGGACAUGUUUUACUCUAGUUUGGCUGGGAAAACACACGCAGCGAUGUGAUCAAGACGGACACGUCGAGUUAGAACAAGGUCAUGAGUGCCUCUAGGAGGGCACCUGUGGAGAACGACCGCACCUGUCCAAAACCCCGCCUGGGCCCUGCCCUGUUCCCCAACCCCGGCCUCCACUAUGACGCUCCACUACAUGUGGCCUAUGGAUGCUUCAUGUGGAGAGGUGUUAAAUGGGCUCAGUCUGUCUGCACCUCCUGCUCCCUGUGGCUGAACCAUAUGGCAGAGAGGAGAGAGUGCUGCGUCCUUGACUCGCCACGGCAAUCACCCAUCAAUCAGCCCCGCAGUGCAUGAUGGGAAGGGGCAUGGGGUGUAGCAGGAUGCACACUCCACCGUGUGUGUGUGUGUGUGUGUGUGUGUGUGUGAGUGAGUGAGUGAGUACAGCUGUGCCUGGGCCAUCUUUGUCCAUGGUGUUGAAUCUGACAGUGUCUAAUGGGACAUGCUGCAUUCUAUGGAGAAGUGAGCUGUGAAUCACACCAUGUCUGAGCUUCUGCUCAGUUCUAUGUUAAGAUAUUGCACUUGGAAUGUGUCUUGGCUCAGAAUACAUGGGCAAUAAUUAAGAGCUUCGGGUGUGUGUGUUUUGCUGAGUGUGAAUUAAGUUAGCGGUAUCAAAGGAAUGAAAAGGUGCGUCCACACUCAUAACUAAAACAUUGGACAAACAAAGUUAUCUGGCUGUUAUCUGGAUAUCUUCUUUCAAAGGGGACUUUUCCCACGGCUCUUUAUCAAGUCGAAUUCCAGAUUCAACAAAGCAAAAAAUAUUUAAGAGCAUUUCAGAAUGAAUGUAUUGCAUAGAGCUGGCCUGAUUGUCCAGUAUGUCCACAUCUAUUAUAGUAGAACAUGUCCGUUCCAUACAGUGCAUUUCUAUCUGCAGUGCUCUGAGUAGGCUAGGUCUCUGGCUGGUGCUGAAGGGUUGCUAGUAGGUUACCGGGGCAACCCUGUGCAUGUGAGGUGUCCACUGUAAGGUGAUUGGAUUAGCCAGAUGCUGUGGAGGGGAGUGCUGAGAGAGUAAACUCGACUACUGCCUUUUCCUCUGCGCGCUCCAACGCUCAUAAACAUGCAGGGUAAGCGUGGGACCGUGUGCGCAUGUUUGUGAUCUGGCUUAUGGUCCACAAGGUGUCUGAUUUUGAGUGAUGGAUGAACAUGUAAUUGAUAGUAACAGACGAGAGAUACCUGCCAGGAACUUGGUGCUAAGCAGGUAUUUAUAGCUUACGUCCGCUGCUCUGUGCUCUCACACUGCAAACUGGGCUAUUUAGGGUUAGGAGAGAAUUGGGCGGGAAACCACUCACGGAACACACUUGGUGAUUUCUCACUAAAGUAGCCCCCCAAAAAAGACCAUGAUUUUUAUGAAAUUUCAACCAUCAAAGCUUUUUUUUGAGUGAGGAUUGUAGACAUAUAUUUGACAUUAGUAUAUUAAAGCAUAAUAUAUGAAUAAUGAAUAGAAAUUGGACAUUUUGCCCUGUACACGGCCUCCUUUUAAGACUCCAUCGUGUUUAAUCUGUGGGCGCUACAAAGUAAAAGUUGGUGUCAUAUGAAGCUUUACCACUUGCUCUGUGAUAUGAAUAGUAUUUUUAAUUCAAUAACAAAUGUCUUACAUAUGUUUAUGAAUAUUGAAAAAUAUAAACAUGAUUAUAGAAAAUCUA